UAGCUUCAGCAACACAUAUACUAAAAUUGGAGCGAUACAGAGAAGAUUAGCAUGGCCCCUGCA
Salvator merianae (Argentine black and white tegu) is the source of this 63-nucleotide small nuclear RNA. The record is from Ensembl. NCBI's taxonomy places the organism in Eukaryota, Metazoa, Chordata, Lepidosauria, Squamata, Teiidae.